RNAcentral lists this ribosomal RNA (496 nucleotides) under uncultured bacterium. RNAcentral describes it as "partial 16S ribosomal RNA". It matches the Rfam family "Bacterial small subunit ribosomal RNA", at positions 29 to 507 of the family's 1533-position model. The record is from RNAcentral.
AUGAACGCUGGCGGCGUGCCUAAUACAUGCAAGUCGAGCGAACGGACGAGAAGCUUGCUUUUCUGAUGUUAGCGGCGGACGGGUGAGUAACACGUGGAUAACCUACCUAUAAGACUGGGAUAACUUCGGGAAACCGGAGCUAAUACCGGAUAAUAUUUUGAACCGCAUGGUUCAAAAGUGAAAGACGGUCUUGCUGUCACUUAUAGAUGGAUCCGCGCUGCAUUAGCUAGUUGGUAAGGUAACGGCUUACCAAGGCAACGAUGCAUAGCCGACCUGAGAGGGUGAUCGGCCACACUGGAACUGAGACACGGUCCAGUCUCCUACGGGAGGCAGCAGUAGGGAAUCUUCCGCAAUGGGCGAAAGCCUGACGGAGCAACGCCGCGUGAGUGAUGAAGGUCUUCGGAUCGUAAAACUCUGUUAUUAGGGAAGAACAUAUGUGUAAGUAACUGUGCACAUCUUGACGGUACCUAAUCAGAAAGCCACGGCUAACUACGUG